GUCCCUGUGAUGAUGAAUUACUUUACAUCUGGAAUUACCGCCUGAAUGUAAGUGAUGACACUAACUCUGAGGGAUUUU
RNAcentral lists this small nucleolar RNA (78 nucleotides) under Paramuricea clavata. The record is from RNAcentral. Lineage: Eukaryota; Metazoa; Cnidaria; Anthozoa; Malacalcyonacea; Plexauridae.